UAAAUCAACCUGCAUCCACCGAGAGAUUAGACACCGACCCGCAUCAGGUAAUAAACAGAAAUGGCUUUCUGGAGGUCUUGGUCUUUGGUGUCACUGCUGAUGUUGGGCAUUACCCUGUCGCUGGUGGAUGAAAGUCAAGCUGUUCCGACUUGUCCUUCUGGUGCUGAAUGGUCAUCAUGCUCGGGGUGUUCUGCAUACUGCCCCAAACCCGAUAUGGCAUGCGCAGCCGUGUGCGUAGACGGCUGCGUAUGUGUCCAAGACGGAUACCUCAUCCAUGACAACGGAUGCAUCCCGCUAGCUCAGUGCCCCAAAUAGCGGAUAAGCAGAUGUGUACUUACCUUCUGACUGAAGAAGAAGACGCAUAAGCGAAUAUUUGAUCCAAUAACCUCUGCGACCCGAACGCACCACGUCAAACCGUUGUGCAUUGAUGGCGUGCUGUCGUGGUGUCCCUUACCCUACAUUCUAGCACUCAAACUUGUCUCAUUCUUCUCAUGCAUUAAAGAUCUUCAUCCUA
This is a long non-coding RNA of Spea bombifrons (plains spadefoot toad), 514 nucleotides long. RefSeq lists it as uncharacterized. The record is from RefSeq and is a predicted model, not a curated record. The transcript is spliced from 5 exons. NCBI's taxonomy places the organism in Eukaryota, Metazoa, Chordata, Amphibia, Anura, Pelobatidae.